Molecule: ribosomal RNA, 227 nt
Filed under: uncultured bacterium
Lineage: Bacteria
Description: partial 16S ribosomal RNA
Rfam family: Bacterial small subunit ribosomal RNA
Source: RNAcentral
CUUCCCUCGGGCGGGGGAUAACAUUCCGAAAGGAGUGCUAAUACCGCAUAAGACCACGACUCCGAAAGGAGUUGAGGUAAAAGCCGGCCUCUAUACAUAAGCUGGCACCUGAGUUCGAUGAGUCCGCGUCCCAUCAGCUAGUUGGUAGGGUAAUGGCCUACCAAGGCUAAGACGGGUAGCUGGUCUGAGAGGAUGGCCAGCCACAUUGGGACUGAGACACGGCCCAG